GCUGGUGUUCGGGUUGUCACGCCAGUGGCACUGCCCGGUAGCUAAGUGCGGAAAAGAUAAGUGCUGAAAGCAUCUAAGCACGAAACUUGCCCCGAGAUGAGUUCUCCCUGAGCACUUGAUGCUCCUGAAGGGACGUUGAAGACGACGACGUUGAUAGGCCGGGUGUGUAAGCGCAGCGAUGCGUUGAGCUAACCGGUACUAAUGACCCGUGAGGCUUAACCUU
RNAcentral lists this non-coding RNA (223 nucleotides) under Serratia symbiotica str. Tucson. RNAcentral describes it as "Bacterial large subunit ribosomal RNA". It matches the Rfam family "Bacterial large subunit ribosomal RNA", at positions 2708 to 2925 of the family's 2925-position model. The record is from Rfam by way of RNAcentral. Lineage: Bacteria; Pseudomonadati; Pseudomonadota; Gammaproteobacteria; Enterobacterales; Yersiniaceae.